This 1369-nucleotide ribosomal RNA is filed under the name Diptera sp. 53 LC-2017. RNAcentral's name for it is "16S ribosomal RNA". The record is from RNAcentral. Lineage: Eukaryota; Metazoa; Arthropoda; Insecta; Diptera.
ACAAUAAAAUUAUUAUUUAAUAUUUUAAAUUAAUUUUAUAAAAAAAAAUAAUUUAAAAUAUUUUUUUAUUUUAUUAAAAUUAAAAAUAAAUAAAUUUUUAUUAUAUUUAUUUAAAAAUAAAAUAAUAAUUUUAAUUUUUAAAUUUAAAAAUUAAAAUUAUUAUUUUAUUAAUAGAAAGUAUUAUUUAUUGUAUCUUGUGUAUCAGAGUAAUUUAAAUUUAAUAAAUUUUUUAUUUUGUUUUCGAAAUAAAAAGAUCUAAAAAUAAUUUAUUUUAUUUUAUUAUUUUAAUAAUAUUAUUAAUUAUUUUUUAGUAAUAAAAUGUUUUUCAAUUUUUAUGAUUUUUAAUUUUUUUUGAAAUGAAUUUAAUUUAUAAUUUUUAUUAUGAAAUUUUUUUAUUUUUAUAAAUUUUAUUUUUAAAAAUUUUAUAAAAUUAGGGAUAAUCUUAAUUUUAUAAAUUUAAAAAUAAAAAUUUUUAUUUUUAAAUUUUUUAAUUUUUUAAGUAAAUUUAAUUUUUAAAUUUUUUAUAAAUUAAUUUAAUUUAUUAUAUUUUUUAUUAUUAUUUUAAUAUUUUAAAAAAAUAUAAAUUUUAUUUAUAAAAAUUUAAUAAUAAUGAAUUGAUUAGUAAUUAAAUUUUUAUUUAAAUUUAAGAAUUUGGCAAAUAAAAUUUAUUCAAUUGUUUAUCAAAAACAUAAUUUUUAAAUUUUUUAUUAAAAAUUUAAUCUGCCAAUUGAAAAAUUUUUUAAAAGGCCGCAGUAUUUUGACUGUGCUAAGGUAGCAUAAUCAUUAGAUUUUUAAUUUAAAUCUUGAAUGAAUGGUAAAAUGAAAUAAAAUCUUUUUUAAUUUAAAAAUUGAAUUUUAUUUUUUAGUUAAAAAGCUAAAAUUUUUUAAAGGGACGAGAAGACCCUAUAGAAUUUUAUAUUAAUUAAAUUAUAAAUUAAUUUAAAAUUUAAUUUUAUAAUAUUAAAAAUAUUAUGUUGGGGUGAUAAAUAAAUUUUUAUAACUUUUUAUAUUUUAUCAUUAAUAAAUGUUUAAUUGAUCUUUUUUUAUUGAUUAAUAAAUAAAAUUACCUUAGGGAUAACAGCAUAAUUUUAUUAAGAAGUUCUUAUUUUUAAUAUUAUUUAUGACCUCGAUGUUGAAUUAAAUUAAUUAAUUAUAUGAAGAAAUAUAAUUAAUAAGUCUGUUCGACUAUUAAUAAUUUACAUGAUUUGAGUUCAAACCGGUGUAAGCCAGGUUGGUUUCUAUCUUUUAAAAUUAAAUUAAUAUUUAGUACGAAAGGAUUAAUAUUUUUAUAAAUUUAUAUUUUUUUAAAAAAUAUUAUAAUUAAAUUGCAAAUUUAAUUUAUUAAAUAUAUUUUAAUAAAAAAUUUAUU